UAGGGAAUCUUGCGCAAUGGGCGAAAGCCUGACGCAGCGACGCCGCGUGCGGGAAGACGGUCUUCGGAUUGUAAACCGCUUUCAGGAGGGAAGAAGCGAAAGUGACGGUACCUCCAGAAGAAGCCCCGGCCAACUACGUGCCAGCAGCCGCGGUAAUACGUAGGGGGCAAGCGUUGUCCGGAAUUAUUGGGCGUAAAGAGCUCGUAGGCGGCUCAGCAAGUCGGCUGUGAAAUCCCGAGGCUCAACCUCGGAACUGCAGUCGAUACUGCUGUGGCUAGAGUCUGGUAGAGGAGAAUGGAAUUCCCAGUGUAGCGGUGAAAUGCGCAGAUAUUGGGAGGAACACCAGUAGCGAAGGCGGUUCUCUGGGCCAGCACUGACGCUGAGGAGCGAAAGCGUGGGUAGCAAACAGGAUUAGAUACCCGCGUAGUCC
This 430-nucleotide ribosomal RNA is filed under the name uncultured prokaryote. RNAcentral describes it as "bacterial SSU rRNA". It matches the Rfam family "Bacterial small subunit ribosomal RNA", at positions 355 to 796 of the family's 1533-position model. The record is from RNAcentral.